GAUGAACGCUGGCGGCGUGCCUAAUACAUGCAAGUCGAGCGAACGGACGAGAAGCUUGCUUCUCUGAUGUUAGCGGCGGACGGGUGAGUAACACGUGGAUAACCUACCUAUAAGACUGGGAUAACUUCGGGAAACCGGAGCUAAUACCGGAUAAUAUUUUGAACCGCAUGGUUCAAUAGUGAAAGACGGUCUUGCUGUCACUUAUAGAUGGAUCCGCGCUGCAUUAGCUAGUUGGUAAGGUAACGGCUUACCAAGGCAACGAUGCAUAGCCGACCUGAGAGGGUGAUCGGCCACACUGGAACUGAGACACGGUCCAGACUACUACGGGAGGCAGCAGUAGGGAAUCUUCCGCAAUGGGCGAAAGCCUGACGGAGCAACGCCGCGUGAGUGAUGAAGGUCUUCGGAUCGUAAAACUCUGUUAUUAGGGAAGAACAUAUGUGUAAGUAACUAUGCACAUCUUGACGGUACCUAAUCAGAAAGCCACGGCUAACUACGUG
Molecule: ribosomal RNA, 497 nt
Filed under: uncultured bacterium
Lineage: Bacteria
Description: partial 16S ribosomal RNA
Rfam family: Bacterial small subunit ribosomal RNA
Source: RNAcentral